AUCGCUGUCUUACCAGACAAAGUUAGAUCUUAGCUAUCCCCGUCUAAUACUGUCUGGUAAUGCCGUCGAU
Molecule: microRNA precursor, 70 nt
Organism: Anolis carolinensis (green anole)
Lineage: Eukaryota; Metazoa; Chordata; Lepidosauria; Squamata; Anolidae
Rfam family: mir-8/mir-141/mir-200 microRNA precursor family
About the family: The bounds of the precursors are predicted based on conservation and base pairing and are not generally known.
Source: Rfam